AUUGAACGCUGGCGGAAUGCUUUACACAUGCAAGUCGAACGGUAGAGGGGGCAACCCCUCGAGAGUGGCGAACGGGUGAGUAAUAUAUCGGAACAUGCCCAGUCGUGGGGGAUAACGUAGCGAAAGUUACGCUAAUACCGCAUACGAUCUAAGGAUGAAAGCGGGGGAUCGCAAGACCUCGCGCGAUUGGAACGGCCGAUAUCAGAUUAGGUAGUUGGUGGGGUAAAGGCUCACCAAGCCAACGAUCUGUAGCUGGUCUGAGAGGUCGACCAGCCACACUGGAACUGAGACACGGUCCAGACUCCUACGGGAGGCAGCAGUGGGGAAUUUUGGACAAUGGACGCAAGUCUGAUCCAGCCAUUCCGCGUGCAGGAUGAAGGCCCUCGGGUUGUAAACUGCUUUUGUACGGAACGAAAAGGUCUCUCUUAAUACGGGGGACUCAUGACGGUACCGUAAGAAUAAGCACCGGCUAACUACGUGCCAGCCGCCGCGGUAA
RNAcentral lists this ribosomal RNA (496 nucleotides) under uncultured bacterium. Its description in RNAcentral is "partial 16S ribosomal RNA". It matches the Rfam family "Bacterial small subunit ribosomal RNA", at positions 30 to 523 of the family's 1533-position model. The record is from RNAcentral.